GUAUUCCGCUCCAUAGCGUAUAUUAAAGUUGUUGCAGUUAAAAAGCUCGUAGUUGAAUUUCGGGGUCAGUAGGUUGGUCAUGCCACAGGUAUGUACUGGCCUCACUGAUUCCUCCUUCCUGAUGAGCCGUAAUGCCAUUAAUUUGGUGUUGCGAGGAAUCUGGACUGUUACUUUGAAAAAAUUAGAGUGUUUAAAGCAGGCUAACGCUUGAAUACAUUAGCAUGGAAUAAUGAAAUAGGACGUUCGAUCUUAUUUUGUUGGUUUCUAAGAUUGACGUAAUGAUUAAUAGGGAUAGUUGGGGGCAUUAGUAUUCAAUUGUCAGAGGUGAAAUUCUUGGAUUUAUUGAAGACUAACUACUGCGAAAGCAUUUGCCAAGGAUGUUUUCAUUAAUCAAGAACGAAAGUUAGGGGAUCGAAGACGAUCAGAUACCGUCGUAGUCUUAACCAUAAACUAUGCCGACUAGGGAUCGGAUGAUGUUAAUUUUUUAAUGACUCAUUCGGCGCCUUACGGGAAACA
This 516-nucleotide ribosomal RNA is filed under the name uncultured Glomus. Its description in RNAcentral is "SSU rRNA". It matches the Rfam family "Eukaryotic small subunit ribosomal RNA", at positions 579 to 1099 of the family's 1831-position model. Lineage: Eukaryota; Fungi; Glomeromycota; Glomeromycetes; Glomerales; Glomeraceae. The record is from RNAcentral.